AAGUCGUAACAAGGUCUCCGUAGGUGAACCUGCGGAGGGAUCAUUAACACGUUGCAAAACGUUUCCAACAAAAAUUCCUAAUUCUGUGAAUUCUGGCUAUACAAAAUGGGCGCCGAGGACUGUUGCUCUAAGCAACAGCACUAAGGUUGCACUUUUGUGCCAAACAUUUUUUUUUUUCUAAAACCACGUUCACUUCUAUCUUUCUUAAUUGAAAGACAAAUUGUCAAAACGCUAACAAAAAGAAAUAAAGCGCAUAUUAAUUUAUGUGUUUGCUUUCUUAUGUAAGCACCUAAGAUAACUAAAAGCACAACUCUUAGCAACGGAUAUCUAGGUUCUC
RNAcentral lists this unclassified non-coding RNA (337 nucleotides) under fungal sp. Its description in RNAcentral is "partial internal transcribed spacer region". The stretch from base 1 to 46 matches the Rfam family "Eukaryotic small subunit ribosomal RNA", at positions 1786 to 1831 of the family's 1831-position model. Lineage: Eukaryota; Fungi. The record is from RNAcentral.